GAUGAACGCUGGCGGCGUGCCUAAUACAUGCAAGUCGAGCGAACAGACGAGGAGCUUGCUCCUCUGACGUUAGCGGCGGACGGGUGAGUAACACGUGGAUAACCUACCUAUAAGACUGGGAUAACUUCGGGAAACCGGAGCUAAUACCGGAUAAUAUAUUGAACCGCAUGGUUCAAUAGUGAAAGACGGUUUUGCUGUCACUUAUAGAUGGAUCCGCGCCGCAUUAGCUAGUUGGUAAGGUAACGGCUUACCAAGGCGACGAUGCGUAGCCGACCUGAGAGGGGGAUCGGCCACACUGGAACUGAGACACGGUCCAGACUCCUACGGGAGGCAGCAGUAGGGAAUCUUCCGCAAUGGGGGAAAGCCUGACGGAGCAACGCCGCGUGAGUGAUGAAGGUCUUCGGAUCGUAAAACUCUGUUAUUAGGGAAGAACAAAUGUGUAAGUAACUAUGCACGUCUUGACGGUACCUAAGCAGAAAGCCACGGCUAACUACGU
Molecule: ribosomal RNA, 496 nt
Filed under: uncultured bacterium
Lineage: Bacteria
Description: partial 16S ribosomal RNA
Rfam family: Bacterial small subunit ribosomal RNA
Source: RNAcentral